CGUAGGUGGCGAGCGUUGUCCGGAUUUACUGGGCGUAAAGGGAGCGUAGGCGGUUUUUUAAGUGGGGUGUGAAAUCCCUGGGCUUAACCCAGGAAUUGCAUUCCAUACUGGAAGACUAGAGUGCAGGAGAGGAAAGUGGAAUUCCAAGUGUAGCGGUGAAAUGCGUAGAGAUUUGGAGGAACACCAGUGGCGAAGGCGACUUUCUGGACUGUAACUGACGCUGAGGCUCGAGAGCGUGGGGAGCAAACAGGAUUAGAUACCCUGGUAGUCCACGCUGUAAACGAUGAAUACUAGGUGUAGGGGGCGAAGCCCUCUGUGCCGCAGUUAACACAUUAAGUAUUCCGCCUGGGGAGUACGAUCGCAAGAUUA
This 369-nucleotide ribosomal RNA is filed under the name uncultured organism. RNAcentral describes it as "bacterial SSU rRNA". It matches the Rfam family "Bacterial small subunit ribosomal RNA", at positions 526 to 896 of the family's 1533-position model. The record is from RNAcentral.